UUUGUGAGGAGACCUGAGCUG
RNAcentral lists this unclassified non-coding RNA (21 nucleotides) under Mus musculus (house mouse). RNAcentral describes it as "oocyte_clustered_small_RNA11054". Lineage: Eukaryota; Metazoa; Chordata; Mammalia; Rodentia; Muridae. The record is from RNAcentral.